UGGGGAAUUUUGGACAAUGGGCGAAAGCCUGAUCCAGCAAUGCCGCGUGUGUGAAGAAGGCCUUCGGGUUGUAAAGUACUUUUGGCAGGAAAGAAACGUCGUGGGUUAAUACCCCGCGAAACUGACGGUACCUGCAGAAUAAGCACCGGCUAACUACGUGCCAGCAGCCGCGGUAAUACGUAGGGUGCAAGCGUUAAUCGGAAUUACUGGGCGUAAAGCGUGCGCAGGCGGUUCGGAAAGAAAGAUGUGAAAUCCCAGAGCUUAACUUUGGAACUGCAUUUUUAACUACCGGGCUAGAGUGUGUCAGAGGGAGGUGGAAUUCCGCGUGUAGCAGUGAAAUGCGUAGAUAUGCGGAGGAACACCGAUGGCGAAGGCAGCCUCCUGGGAUAACACUGACGCUCAUGCACGAAAAGCGUGGGGAGCAAACAGGAUUAGAUACCCUGGUAGUCCACGCCCUAAACGAUGUCAACUAGCUGUUGGGGUCUUCGGACCUUGGUAGCGCAGCUAACGCGUGAAGUUGACCGCCUGGGGAGUACGGUC
This 540-nucleotide ribosomal RNA is filed under the name uncultured bacterium. RNAcentral's name for it is "partial 16S ribosomal RNA". It matches the Rfam family "Bacterial small subunit ribosomal RNA", at positions 355 to 887 of the family's 1533-position model. The record is from RNAcentral.